AUUGAACGCUGGCGGCAGGCCUAACACAUGCAAGUCGAGCGGAUGAAGGGAGCUUGCUCCUGGAUUCAGCGGCGGACGGGUGAGUAAUGCCUAGGAAUCUGCCUGGUAGUGGGGGAUAACGUCCGGAAACGGGCGCUAAUACCGCAUACGUCCUGAGGGAGAGAGUGGGGGAUCUUCGGACCUCACGCUAUCAGAUGAGCCUAGGUCGGAUUAGCUAGUUGGUGGGGUAAAGGCCUACCAAGGCGACGAUCCGUAACUGGUCUGAGAGGAUGAUCAGUCACACUGGAACUGAGACACGGUCCAGACUCCUACGGGAGGCAGCAGUGGGGAAUAUUGGACAAUGGGCGAAAGCCUGAUCUAGCCAUGCCGCGUGUGUGAAGAAGGUCUUCGGAUUGUAAAGCACUUUAAGUUGGGAGGAAGGGCAGUAAGUUAAUACCUUGCUGUUUUGACGUUACCAACAGAAUAAGCACCGGCUAACUUCGUG
This 484-nucleotide ribosomal RNA is filed under the name uncultured bacterium. RNAcentral describes it as "partial 16S ribosomal RNA". It matches the Rfam family "Bacterial small subunit ribosomal RNA", at positions 30 to 507 of the family's 1533-position model. The record is from RNAcentral.